Molecule: long non-coding RNA, 907 nt
Filed under: Homo sapiens (human)
Lineage: Eukaryota; Metazoa; Chordata; Mammalia; Primates; Hominidae
Description: long non-coding RNA NONHSAT193758.1
Source: RNAcentral
AAAACCCAGAUCUAUAACCUCUCCCUAUAUAUUCUGCAUGCAUUGAAGUAGGCUCAAACCCUCAGGGACCUGGUAUAGACGCAGAAUCUGUUUCACACAACAACUGCUAUUUGAAGGAAAAAAAAAAAAAGAAGCAAAUGAUACCAAGACAAGCUCAUAACAGAGAUCCAAUCAGCAGAUGUGUACGGAUGAAAAUACAGUGAGAUGAGUCAGAAACCGGCCAAGGAGGGUCCCAGACUCUCCAAAAACCAGAAGUACUCCGAACACUUCAGCAUACACUGCUGCCCGCCGUUCACCUUCCUCAAUUCCAAGAAGGAGAUAGUGGAUCGGAAAUACAGCAUCUGUAAGAGCGGCUGCUUCUACCAGAAGAAAGAGGAGGACUGGAUCUGCUGCGCCUGCCAGAAGACCAGAACCAGCCGCCGUGCCAAGUCCCCUCAGAGGCCCAAGCAACAGCCAGCUGCGCCCCCCGCGGUGGUCAGAGCGCCAGCCAAGCCACGGUCCCCUCCGAGGUCUGAGCGUCAGCCACGGUCCCCUCCGAGGUCUGAGCGUCAGCCACGGUCCCCUCCGAGGUCUGAGCGUCAGCCACGGUCCCCUCCGAGGUCUGAGCGUCAGCCACGUCCCCGCCCAGAGGUCCGACCACCGCCAGCCAAGCAGCGUCCCCCUCAGAAGUCCAAGCAACAGCCGCGCAGCAGCCCCCUCAGAGGGCCAGGCGCCAGCCGUGGGGGGUCCCCCGUCAAAGCUUCUAGGUUCUGGUAACACCAUCUCUUCCCUUUUGUUCCCCAGCCCUAAGGUUAGUAGUUGCUUCCUGUGUUUACUAACACCGGGCUGUCUCCAUGGCCCUCUUCAGCCUUAUUACCCAACCUGUGUAAUCAGCUCCCUCCAUUAAAUCCCCUCUGUUUGAAAUACC